AGUCAACGCUGGCGGUAGGCCUAACACAUGCAAGUCGAACGGCGGCACAGUAAGAGCUUGCUCUUACGGGUGGCGAGUGGCGGACGGGUGAGGAAUACAUCGGAAUCUACUUUUUCGUGGGGGAUAACGUAGGGAAACUUACGCUAAUACCGCAUACGACCUACGGGUGAAAGCAGGGGAUCUUCGGACCUUGCGCGAUUGAAUGAGCCGAUGUCGGAUUAGCUAGUUGGCGGGGUAAAGGCCCACCAAGGCGACGAUCCGUAGCUGGUCUGAGAGGAUGAUCAGCCACACUGGAACUGAGACACGGUCCAGACUCCUACGGGAGGCAGCAGUGGGGAAUAUUGGACAAUGGGCGCAAGCCUGAUCCAGCCAUACCGCGUGGGUGAAGAAGGCCUUCGGGUUGUAAAGCCCUUUUGUUGGGAAAGAAAAGCAGCAGGUUAAUACCCCGCUGUUCUGACGGUACCCAAAGAAUAAGCACCGGCUAACUUCGUG
RNAcentral lists this ribosomal RNA (492 nucleotides) under uncultured bacterium. RNAcentral's name for it is "partial 16S ribosomal RNA". It matches the Rfam family "Bacterial small subunit ribosomal RNA", at positions 32 to 507 of the family's 1533-position model. The record is from RNAcentral.